AGGUAAGCUACUAAGAGCGAAUGGUGGAUGCCUUGACUGGUAAAGGCGAUGAAGGACGUACUAGACUGCGAUAAGCUACGGGGAGCUGUCAAGAAGCUUUGAUCCGUAGAUUUCCGAAUGGGGCAACCCAAUGUAUAGAGAUAUACAUUACCUAUAUAGGAGCGAACGAGGGGAAUUGAAACAUCUUAGUACCCUCAGGAAAAGAAAUCAAUAGAGAUUGCGUCAGUAGCGGCGAGCGAAAGCGCAAGAGGGCAAACCCAGUGCUUGCACUGGGGGUUGUAGGACUGCAAUGUGCAAGAGCUGAGUUUAGCAGAACAUUCUGGAAAGUAUAGCCAUAGAGGGUGAUAGUCCCGUAUGCGAAAAACAAAGCUUAGCUAGCAGUAUCCUGAGUAGGGCGGGACACGAGGAAUCCUGUCUGAAUCCGGGUCGACCACGAUCCAACCCUAAAUACUAAUACCAGAUCGAUAGUGCACAAGUACCGUGAGGGAAAGGUGAAAAGAACUGAGGUGAUCAGAGUGAAAUAGAACCUGAAACCAUUUGCUUACAAUCAUUCAGAGCACUAUGUAGCAAUACAGUGUGAUGGACUGCCUUUUGCAUAAUGAGCCUGCGAGUUGUGGUGUCUGGCAAGGUUAAGCAAACGCGAAGCCGUAGCGAAAGCGAGUCUGAAUAGGGCGCUUAGUCAGAUGCUGCAGACCCGAAACGAAGUGAUCUAUCCAUGAGCAAGUUGAAGCUAGUGUAAGAACUAGUGGAGGACUGAACCCAUAGGCGUUGAAAAGCCCCGGGAUGACUUGUGGAUAGGGGUGAAAGGCCAAUCAAACUUCGUGAUAGCUGGUUCUCUCCGAAAUAUAUUUAGGUAUAGCGUUGUGUCGUAAUAUAAGGGGGUAGAGCACUGAAUGGGCUAGGGCAUACACCAAUGUACCAAACCCUAUCAAACUCCGAAUACCUUAUAUGUAAUCACAGCAGUCAGGCGGCGAGUGAUAAAAUCCGUCGUCAAGAGGGAAACAACCCAGACUACCAGCUAAGGUCCCUAAAUCUUACUUAAGUGGAAAACGAUGUGAAGUUACUUAAACAACCAGGAGGUUGGCUUAGAAGCAGCCAUCCUUUAAAGAAAGCGUAAUAGCUCACUGGUCUAGUGAUUUUGCGCGGAAAAUAUAACGGGGCUAAAGUAAGUACCGAAGCUGUAGACUUGCACACAACUUAGAUUAUUUAAGUUUAGAAUAUGAGAAACUAAGUUAUAUGUUUAGUUAUAUUUUUACUGAUUUUUAUAGAGUAAAGAUAGAAAUAAAACUUAGUAAAAUCAGUAAAAAUAUUCUUAGGCUAAAGUUAAGUAGUUUAAGUUGUGUGCAAGUGGUAGGAGAGCGUUCUAUUUGCGUCGAAGGUAUACCGGUAAGGAGUGCUGGAGCGAAUAGAAGUGAGCAUGCAGGCAUGAGUAGCGAUAAUUAAUGUGAGAAUCAUUAACGCCGUAAACCCAAGGUUUCCUACGCGAUGCUCGUCAUCGUAGGGUUAGUCGGGUCCUAAGUCGAGUCCGAAAGGGGUAGACGAUGGCAAAUUGGUUAAUAUUCCAAUACCAACAUUAGUGUGCGAUGGAAGGACGCUUAGGGCUAAGGGGGCUAGCGGAUGGAAGUGCUAGUCUAAGGUUGUAGGAGGUUAUACAGGCAAAUCCGUAUAACAAUACUCCGAGAACUGAAAGGCUUUUUGAAGUCUUCGGAUGGAUAGAAGAACCCCUGAUGCCGUCGAGCCAAGAAAAGUUUCUAAGUUUAGCUAAUGUUGCCCGUACCGUAAACCGACACAGGUGGGUGGGAUGAGUAUUCUAAGGCGCGUGGAAGAACUCUCUUUAAGGAACUCUGCAAAAUAGCACCGUAUCUUCGGUAUAAGGUGUGGUUAGCUUCGUACUACGAUUUACUCCGAAAGCGAAGAAACUUACAACAAAGAGUCCCUCCCGACUGUUUACCAAAAACACAGCACUCUGCUAACUCGUAAGAGGAUGUAUAGGGUGUGACGCCUGCCCGGUGCUCGAAGGUUAAUUGAUGGGGUUAGCAUUAGCGAAGCUCUUGAUCGAAGCCCGAGUAAACGGCGGCCGUAACUAUAACGGUCCUAAGGUAGCGAAAUUCCUUGUCGGUUAAAUACCGACCUGCAUGAAUGGCGUAACGAGAUGGGAGCUGUCUCAAAGAGGGAUCCAGUGAAAUUGUAGUGGAGGUGAAAAUUCCUCCUACCCGCGGCAAGACGGAAAGACCCCGUGGACCUUUACUACAGCUUGACACUGCUACUUGGAUAAGAAUGUGCAGGAUAGGUGGGAGGCUUUGAGUAUAUGACGCCAGUUGUAUAUGAGCCAUUGUUGAGAUACCACUCUUUCUUAUUUGGGUAGCUAACCAGCUUGAGUUAUCCUCAAGUGGGACAAUGUCUGGUGGGUAGUUUGACUGGGGCGGUCGCCUCCCAAAUAAUAACGGAGGCUUACAAAGGUUGGCUCAGAACGGUUGGAAAUCGUUCGUAGAGUAUAAAGGUAUAAGCCAGCUUAACUGCAAGACAUACAAGUCAAGCAGAGACGAAAGUCGGUCUUAGUGAUCCGGUGGUUCUGUGUGGAAGGGCCAUCGCUCAAAGGAUAAAAGGUACCCCGGGGAUAACAGGCUGAUCUCCCCCAAGAGCUCACAUCGACGGGGAGGUUUGGCACCUCGAUGUCGGCUCAUCGCAUCCUGGGGCUGGAGCAGGUCCCAAGGGUAUGGCUGUUCGCCAUUUAAAGCGGUACGCGAGCUGGGUUCAGAACGUCGUGAGACAGUUCGGUCCCUAUCUGCCGUGGGCGUAAGAAGAUUGAAGAGAUUUGACCCUAGUACGAGAGGACCGGGUUGAACAAACCACUGGUGUAGCUGUUGUUCUGCCAAGAGCAUCGCAGCGUAGCUAAGUUUGGAAAGGAUAAACGCUGAAAGCAUCUAAGCGUGAAGCCAACUCUAAGAUGAAUCUUCUCUAAGCUCUCUAGAAGACUACUAGUUUGAUAGGCUGGGUGUGUAAUGGAUGAAAGUCCUUUAGCUGACCAGUACUAAUAGAGCGUUUGGCUUAUCUUU
This 3056-nucleotide ribosomal RNA is filed under the name Campylobacter jejuni. RNAcentral's name for it is "23S ribosomal RNA". It matches the Rfam family "Bacterial large subunit ribosomal RNA". Lineage: Bacteria; Pseudomonadati; Campylobacterota; Epsilonproteobacteria; Campylobacterales; Campylobacteraceae. The record is from RNAcentral.